UACGAAGGGGGCUAGCGUUGCUCGGAAUCACUGGGCGUAAAGCGCACGUAGGCGGCUUUCUAAGUCAGGGGUGAAAUCCUGGAGCUCAACUCCAGAACUGCCUUUGGUACUGGAGAGCUUGAGUCCGGGAGAGGUGAGUGGAACUCCGAGUGUAGAGGUGAAAUUCGUAGAUAUUCGGAAGAACACCAGUGGCGAAGGCGGCUCACUGGCCCGGUACUGACGCUGAUGUGCGAAAGCGUGGGGAGCAAACAGG
Molecule: ribosomal RNA, 253 nt
Filed under: uncultured bacterium
Lineage: Bacteria
Description: partial 16S ribosomal RNA
Rfam family: Bacterial small subunit ribosomal RNA
Source: RNAcentral